UGAGCUCUCAUUGUUUGCUACAGUGUAAUGCCUCCAUCUCUUUUUAGGUUUUACGAGAGGCGAAGGAGAAAGAAGAGAUACGGACCUCCAAUGAGGUUACCGUGGAAACAGACAAGAAAACUCAUUAUGGGCUACUCUUUGAUGAAUUUCAAGGCCUUUCACAUCUAGAAGCUCUGGAGAUGCUUUCCCAAGAAAGUGAAAUAAAGGUGAAAUCUAUCCUUAAUUCUCUGAGUGGAGAAGAAUUAGAGACUCUAAAAGUUGAAUUAGAGCAACUCAAAGAAACAUUUUCUCUAGCAGAAUUUUGUGAAGAAGAGGAAGAAGAGAAAAAAGGUAAUAUGAAAAUUUAGUAUCUGAGUGGAGAGGAUGCAGUGUGUUUGUAUGCAGUGCAUUGCCCUUGAAAUAAAUUAUUUACUCUUA
Molecule: long non-coding RNA, 417 nt
Filed under: Homo sapiens (human)
Lineage: Eukaryota; Metazoa; Chordata; Mammalia; Primates; Hominidae
Description: non-protein coding lnc-HAND1-8:3
Source: RNAcentral